Molecule: ribosomal RNA, 253 nt
Filed under: uncultured bacterium
Lineage: Bacteria
Description: partial 16S ribosomal RNA
Rfam family: Bacterial small subunit ribosomal RNA
Source: RNAcentral
CACGUAGGGCGCGAGCGUUGUCCGGAAUUAUUGGGCGUAAAGCGCUCGUAGGCGGCCUGUUGCGUCCGCUGUGAAAGCCCGGGGCUUAACCCCGGGGCGGCAGUGGAUACGGGCAGGCUAGAGGUAGGUAGGGGAGAAUGGAAUUCCCGGUGUAGCGGUGAAAUGCGCAGAUAUCAGGAGGAACACCGGUGGCGAAGGCGGGUCUCUGGGCCGAAACUGACGCUGAGGAGCGAAAGCGUGGGGAGCAAACAGG